This 65-nucleotide transfer RNA is filed under the name Camelus bactrianus (Bactrian camel). It matches the Rfam family "tRNA". From Rfam's summary of the family: Transfer RNA (tRNA) molecules are approximately 80 nucleotides in length. Their secondary structure includes four short double-helical elements and three loops (D, anti-codon, and T loops). RNAcentral also lists the same sequence under 2 other names. The record is from Rfam by way of RNAcentral. Lineage: Eukaryota; Metazoa; Chordata; Mammalia; Artiodactyla; Camelidae.
AAGGGUAUAGCUCAGUGGUAGAGCAUGUGCCCAGCAGGUCCUGGAUUCAAUCCCCAGUACCUCCA